Molecule: ribosomal RNA, 95 nt
Filed under: Drosophila melanogaster (fruit fly)
Lineage: Eukaryota; Metazoa; Arthropoda; Insecta; Diptera; Drosophilidae
Description: partial bb
Source: RNAcentral
AUGAAAAUGAAUAUUUAUUAUAUGUAUAUAGGGGAAAAAAUAAUCAUAUAAUAUAAGGUAGGCAGUGGUUGCCGACCUCGCAUUGUUCGAAAUAU